UGCGUAACGCGUAUGCAAUCUACCCUUUACUGGGGAAUAGCCCGGAGAAAUUCGGAUUAAUGCCCCAUAUGCCCACGGAAUCGCAUGGUUCAGUGGGGAAAGUUCCGACGGUAAAGGAUGAGCAUGCGUCCCAUUAGCUAGUUGGUGAGGUAACGGCUCACCAAGGCGACGAUGGGUAGGGGGCCUGAGAGGGUGAUCCCCCACACUGGUACUGAGACACGGACCAGACUCC
RNAcentral lists this ribosomal RNA (232 nucleotides) under uncultured bacterium. RNAcentral describes it as "partial 16S ribosomal RNA". It matches the Rfam family "Bacterial small subunit ribosomal RNA", at positions 107 to 339 of the family's 1533-position model. The record is from RNAcentral.